Molecule: long non-coding RNA, 523 nt
Organism: Lycium barbarum (goji berry)
Lineage: Eukaryota; Viridiplantae; Streptophyta; Magnoliopsida; Solanales; Solanaceae
Exons: 3
Source: RefSeq, a predicted model, not a curated record
UUAUCACCACAAAUCAAGAAGCUUGGAGAAGAACAAAGAAAGAAAAAAAAAAAGGGUUGAAGGCAUUCGACCAUGGCUAGCCAAAUUUGGCCCCAUGGAAAACUUAUCAAAAAAAUUAUUUCUCCUAGUAUUCCAAGCAAUUUGAAGGCCCUAAUUAACAUGGAGAGGUUGUUGGAGCAAUAAAACCAUUCAUUUGUGCAAUUUCAACCCUAGUCGGGCAAGAAGAGAUAAGUGAAGAAAGACUAGCGAGAUUGGACAAUUAAGCGUAGCCAAUAGGACGUGGGACAGGUACACCCAGAUGAGUUGAAGCUAUUAUAGAAGAUGUUCCAGCGGAGUUGGCAAGCUCCACUUGCUCCUGGAGUGCUGCCGAGUCAGAGUAUAUGUGCUAUGAUGUCUGAUUAAUGUUAGAGACUUUGCAGACAGAGUCGUGGGUAUUGGUUGUCAGUUCUGUAAGCGGCUCCAUCAGCCGAUGUGUCAUUUUGUGUUAUGAUAUAAAUUCUAUAUAAUUACAGAUUUUGUUUGA